AAAAGCUUUCUUUAAUUAAAUAAUUGAAUUUAAUUUUUUAGUGCAAAAGCAAAAAUAAAAAUUAGGGACAAGAAGACCCUAUGAAUUUUUUAUUAAAUUUUAUAAAACUUUAUAUAAAAUUUAAUUUAAUUGGGGUGAUGGAAAAAGAAUAAAUAUCUUUUUUUUAAAAGAAAAUUGGUUCCGUUUUUAGCGAUUAAAUGAAAAAAAUACUCUAGGGAUAACAGCGUAAUAAUUUUGGAUAGUUCAUAUAGAUAAAAUAGUUUGCGACCUCGAUGUUGGAUUAGGAUUCUUUUUUGGUGAAGAAGUUAAAAAAAGAAGUUUGUUCAACUUAUAAUUUCCUACUUGAUCUGAGUUCAGACCGG
RNAcentral lists this ribosomal RNA (362 nucleotides) under Ixodes ricinus (castor bean tick). RNAcentral's name for it is "partial 16S ribosomal RNA". The stretch from base 66 to 362 matches the Rfam family "Bacterial large subunit ribosomal RNA", at positions 2078 to 2619 of the family's 2925-position model. Lineage: Eukaryota; Metazoa; Arthropoda; Arachnida; Ixodida; Ixodidae. The record is from RNAcentral.